Molecule: ribosomal RNA, 460 nt
Filed under: uncultured bacterium
Lineage: Bacteria
Description: partial 16S ribosomal RNA
Rfam family: Bacterial small subunit ribosomal RNA
Source: RNAcentral
CCUACGGGCGGCAGCAGUGAGGAAUAUUGGUCAAUGGGCGCGAGCCUGAACCAGCCAAGUAGCGUGAAGGAUGACUGCCCUACGGGUUGUAAACUUCUUUUAUAAAGGGAUAAAACGAGGCACGUGUGCCUUUUUGCAUGUACUUUAUGAAUAAGGAUCGGCUAACUCCGCGCCAGCAGCCGCGGUAAUACGGAGGGUCCGAGCGUUAUCCGGAUGUAUUGGGUUUAAAGGGAGCGUAGGUGGGUUGUUAAGUCAGUUGUGAAAGUUUGCGGCUCAACCGGAGAAUUGCAAUUGAUACUGGCAGUCUUGAGUACAGUUGAGGUAGGCGGAAUUCGUGGUGUAGCGGUGAAAUGCUUAGAUAUCAGGAAGAACCCCGAUUGCGAAGGCAGCUUACUAAGCUGUGACUGACAUUGAUGCUCGAAAGUGUGGGGAUCAAACAGGAUUAGAUACCCUGGUAGUC